GUGCCAGCAGCCGCGGUAAUACGAAGGGGGCUAGCGUUGCUCGGAAUGACUGGGCGUAAAGGGCGCGUAGGCGGUUCGUACAGUCGGGCGUGAAAUUCCUGGGCUCAACCUGGGGGCUGCGUUCGAUACGUGCGGACUAGAGUGGGGAAGAGGGUCGUAGAAUUCCCAGUGUAGAGGUGAAAUUCGUAGAUAUUGGGAAGAACACCGGUGGCGAAGGCGGCGACCUGGUCCUUGACUGACGCUGAGGCGCGAAAGCGUGGGGAGCAAACAGGAUUAGAUACCCUUGUAGUCC
This 292-nucleotide ribosomal RNA is filed under the name uncultured bacterium. RNAcentral describes it as "partial 16S ribosomal RNA". It matches the Rfam family "Bacterial small subunit ribosomal RNA", at positions 505 to 796 of the family's 1533-position model. The record is from RNAcentral.